Molecule: ribosomal RNA, 466 nt
Filed under: uncultured bacterium
Lineage: Bacteria
Description: partial 16S ribosomal RNA
Rfam family: Bacterial small subunit ribosomal RNA
Source: RNAcentral
CUACGGGGCGCUGCAGUCGAGAAUAGUCUACAAUGGACGAAAGUCUGAUAGUGCAAUGCCGCGUGGAUGAAGAAGCAUUUCGGUGUGUAAAAUCCUUUUCCAAGUGAUCAAAGAUGUCAAGGUGAAUAGCUUUGAUGUUAAGAUAGUAGUUUGGGAAUAAGCCUCGGCUAACUCCGUGCCAGCAGCCGCGGUAAUACGGGGGAGGCAAGCGUUGUCCGGAAUCACUAGGCGUAAAGGGCAAGUAGGCGGAAGAGUAAGUUACGUGUUAAAGGCAUUGGCUCAACCAAUGUAAGGCAUGUGAUACUGCUUUUCUAGAGUCAGGCAGGGGAAGACGGAAUUUCCAGUGUAGCGGUGGAAUGCGCAGAUAUUGGAAAGAACACUCAAGGCGAAGGCAGUCUUCUGGGCCAUGACUGACGCUCAAUUGCGAAGGUGUGGGUAUCAAACAGGAUUAGAUACCCUUGUAGUC